RNAcentral lists this ribosomal RNA (493 nucleotides) under uncultured bacterium. RNAcentral's name for it is "partial 16S ribosomal RNA". It matches the Rfam family "Bacterial small subunit ribosomal RNA", at positions 29 to 523 of the family's 1533-position model. The record is from RNAcentral.
AUUGAACGCUGGCGGCAUGCUUUACACAUGCAAGUCGAACGGUAACAGGUUAAGCUGACGAGUGGCGAACGGGUGAGUAAUGCAUCGGAACGUGCCCGGUCGUGGGGGAUAACGCAGCGAAAGCUGCGCUAAUACCGCAUACGAUCUGAGGAUGAAAGCGGGGGACCGUAAGGCCUCGCGCGAUCGGAGCGGCCGAUGUCAGAGUAGGUAGUUGGUGGGGUAAAGGCUCACCAAGCCGACGAUCUGUAGCUGGUCUGAGAGGACGACCAGCCACACUGGGACUGAGACACGGCCCAGACACCUACGGGAGGCAGCGGUGGGGAAUUUUGGACAAUGGGCGCAAGCCUGAUUCAGCAAUGCCGCGUGAAGGAAGAAGGCCUUCGGGUUGUAAACUGCUUUUGUACGGAGCGAAAAGGCUCUCUCUAAUACGGGGGGCUCAUGACGGUACCGUAAGAAUAAGCACCGGCUAACUACGUGCCAGCAGCCGCAGUAA